GGGUUGUGAGGUUAAGCGACUAAGCGUACACGGUGGAUGCCCUGGCAGUCAGAGGCGAUGAAGGGCGUGCUAAUCUGCGAUAAGCGCCGGUAAGGUGAUAUGAACCGUUAUAACCGGCGAUACCCGAAUGGGGAAACCCAGUGUGACUCGUCACACUAUCAUUAACUGAAUCCAUAGGUUAAUGAGGCGAACCGGGGGAACUGAAACAUCUAAGUACCCCGAGGAAAAGAAAUCAACCGAGAUUCCCCCAGUAGCGGCGAGCGAACGGGGAGGAGCCCAGAGCCUGAAUCAGCAUGUGUGUUAGUGGAAGCGUCUGGAAAGGCGCGCGAUACAGGGUGACAGCCCCGUACACAAAAGCGCAUGUGCUGUGAGCUCGAUGAGUAGGGCGGGACACGUGGUAUCCUGUCUGAAUAUGGGGGGACCAUCCUCCAAGGCUAAAUACUCCUGACUGACCGAUAGUGAACCAGUACCGUGAGGGAAAGGCGAAAAGAACCCCGGCGAGGGGAGUGAAAAAGAACCUGAAACCGUGUACGUACAAGCAGUGGGAGCACCCUUUGGGUGUGACUGCGUACCUUUUGUAUAAUGGGUCAGCGACUUAUAUUCUGUAGCAAGGUUAACCGAAUAGGGGAGCCGGAGGGAAACCGAGUCUUAAUUGGGCGUUAAGUUGCAGGGUAUAGACCCGAAACCCGGUGAUCUAGCCAUGGGCAGGUUGAAGGUUGGGUAACACUAACUGGAGGACCGAACCGACUAAUGUUGAAAAAUUAGCGGAUGACCUGUGGCUGGGGGUGAAAGGCCAAUCAAACCGGGAGAUAGCUGGUUCUCCCCGAAAGCUAUUUAGGUAGCGCCUCGUGAAUUCAUCUCCGGGGGUAGAGCACUGUUUCGGCUAGGGGGCCAUCCCGGCUUACCAACCCGAUGCAAACUGCGAAUACCGGAGAAUGUUAUCACGGGAGACACACGGCGGGUGCUAACGUCCGUCGUGAAGAGGGAAACAACCCAGACCGCCAGCUAAGGUCCCAAAGUCAUGGUUAAGUGGGAAACGAUGUGGGAAGGCCCAGACAGCCAGGAUGUUGGCUUAGAAGCAGCCAUCAUUUAAAGAAAGCGUAAUAGCUCACUGGUCGAGUCGGCCUGCGCGGAAGAUGUAACGGGGCUAAACCAUGCACCGAAGCUGCGGCAGCGACGCUUAUGCGUUGUUGGGUAGGGGAGCGUUCUGUAAGCCUGCGAAGGUGGCCUGUGAGGGUUGCUGGAGGUAUCAGAAGUGCGAAUGCUGACAUAAGUAACGAUAAAGCGGGUGAAAAGCCCGCUCGCCGGAAGACCAAGGGUUCCUGUCCAACGUUAAUCGGGGCAGGGUGAGUCGACCCCUAAGGCGAGGCCGAAAGGCGUAGUCGAUGGGAAACGGGUUAAUAUUCCCGUACUUGGUGUUACUGCGAAGGGGGGACGGAGAAGGCUAUGUUGGCCGGGCGACGGUUGUCCCGGUUUAAGCGUGUAGGCUGGUUUUCCAGGCAAAUCCGGAAAAUCAAGGCUGAGGCGUGAUGACGAGGCACUACGGUGCUGAAGCAACAAAUGCCCUGCUUCCAGGAAAAGCCUCUAAGCAUCAGGUAACAUCAAAUCGUACCCCAAACCGACACAGGUGGUCAGGUAGAGAAUACCAAGGCGCUUGAGAGAACUCGGGUGAAGGAACUAGGCAAAAUGGUGCCGUAACUUCGGGAGAAGGCACGCUGACACGUAGGUGAAGUGAUUUACUCACGGAGCUGAAGUCAGUCGAAGAUACCAGCUGGCUGCAACUGUUUAUUAAAAACACAGCACUGUGCAAACACGAAAGUGGACGUAUACGGUGUGACGCCUGCCCGGUGCCGGAAGGUUAAUUGAUGGGGUCAGCGCAAGCGAAGCUCCUGAUCGAAGCCCCGGUAAACGGCGGCCGUAACUAUAACGGUCCUAAGGUAGCGAAAUUCCUUGUCGGGUAAGUUCCGACCUGCACGAAUGGCGUAAUGAUGGCCAGGCUGUCUCCACCCGAGACUCAGUGAAAUUGAACUCGCUGUGAAGAUGCAGUGUACCCGCGGCAAGACGGAAAGACCCCGUGAACCUUUACUAUAGCUUGACACUGAACAUUGAGCCUUGAUGUGUAG
Molecule: ribosomal RNA, 2123 nt
Filed under: Salmonella enterica subsp. enterica serovar Enteritidis
Lineage: Bacteria; Pseudomonadati; Pseudomonadota; Gammaproteobacteria; Enterobacterales; Enterobacteriaceae
Description: partial 23S ribosomal RNA
Rfam family: Bacterial large subunit ribosomal RNA
Source: RNAcentral